GCCGCUCUUUCUCCGGAGCCGGGCGGUUGUCCCGUGCUCCCCCUCAUUUGGGGACUAGGAGUCCGAAGAAGGGAGGGCCGGCGGGCGACUCGCUCGUGUUGUCUUUUGGCACCAGGAAACUUGGAGAGACUUCCCUUUGCGAGGCUGGCCGUGAGUUUGCUGGCGCGGGGACCUCCGGAGCUCCCGCCUCGGCCGCUUGAGAGACGAAAUCAGCGCCCCCUCCCAUCCAUCCCUUAGGAGCUCUCGGGAGAUCGAGAAAUGCAGCGGGAACACUUGCGAGUGGGAUUGAUAGCCGCGUUAUUUGGGACGAGGGUGGUGGAAUCUCUACGAGUCGCCUUCUUGUGCAACCAGCCACUGUGCAACUAGCAAGGAAGCCUUAGGGGGUAUUUUACAGGAUCUCGGAGUGAGCGACGUCUGCUGUACACAGAACCAAAAAGACUACAACCAAAUUUCCUUGUAGUUAUGACUGGAAUGAGGAUGGUCAUCUCUCUCUGUGAGUUUAGAGCCCCAGAGUGUAGUAGUUAUUCAGGAAUGUCAAACAUUAUCUUUGUGUUGUGGAGUGCAAGUGUAUAAUCUGGCCUGUGCAGUGUAAAACAGGGUGAAAACCCGGUUUAUUGGGGAGAUUUAAAAAAAAGGGGGGGGGGAUGACAUUGACAUUCUUACGGACCAAUCUUAUCCAUGUCUACUCAGAAAUAAAUUUCACUGUUCAAAUUUACAUCCAGAAAAAUGUGCAUAGGAUUACAGCCUUCAUUUACCAAUGGUAAAAGAAAUAUAUACAAAUUGAGAUUACCCUAUUGAAUAAUUUGAAGGCUCAAGAGUUAAAGGAUUUUUGACAGGAGUAGUAACUGGUUGCAUGGAAAGUCUAAAGAACAAGCAGGCCAAGAAGAAUCUCGGCAUUUGUGCCUAAUGGCGAGGAAAUGGGGCUUGCUUGGGGACAAAAGUGGACAUCCCAGGCCAUGUGGCUGAUGCCAUGCAUUCAGCAUAAACACUUUUAAGAGUGAUGAAUUAAACAUCAUGGUACAGCCUCCUAUCAGUUAAUAUCUUCUAUCCCAAAGGGGAAACUUCCUCCAUUAUGGGGACAGCCUCAUCCUUGGUAAGCCCAGUAGGCACAGUUGGGGAAGUGAUUGAAGACACAUAUGAGGGGGUUGGGGGUGAAGCCUGUGAAAUCCCCGUGGAGGUGAAACCAAAAGCCCGCCUCCUGCGCAGCUCCUUCCGCCGCGUGGGGACGUCACGGCCUGGAGGUCUUAUUGGUGCUAGCUUCAAAUCCACUGCCUCUGUUCAAGAGCUGGAGUGUAUGGCAGAGUACGAACGCCUAAAGAAAGAAUAUGAAAUCUUUCGUAUCAGCAAGAACAAUGAGCUGGCAUCUAUGAUGAAAAAAGAGGCAAAACUGGAUAAGGAAAACAAGCGCCUGCGGGCAGAGCUGCAGGCACUUCAGAAAACAUAUCAGAAAAUACUCAGAGAGAAAGAAAGUGCUUUGGAAGCUAAAUACCAAGCCAUGGAGAGAGCUGCUACAUUUGAACAUGACCGAGACAAAGUCAAGAGACAGUUCAAGAUUUUCAGAGAAACCAAGGAAAAUGAAAUUCAGGAUUUACUGAGGGCCAAGCGAGAGUUGGAGGCAAAACUGCAGAGACUGCAAGCUCAAGGCAUCCACAUAUUUGACCCUGAAGAGACAGACUCGGAUGAUAGCUGUUCAGAGGUUGCUGCAACUGGAGCUCAGUCGGAGUAUUGGAGUGGUGGAGCCUUGGGAAGUGAGCCAUCCAUGGGCAGUAUGAUGCAGCUUCAACAGUCUUUCAGAGGCCCUGAGUUUGCACAGAGUUCCAUUGAUGUGGAAGGGCCAUUUGCAAAUAUCAACAGAGAUGAUUGGGAUGCAGCUGUUGCCAGUCUGUUGCAGGUCACUCCAUUGUUUUCCCACUCUUUGUGGAGUAACACAGUAAGAGUAUAUCUCAUUAAUACAGAAGAGACUAAGUCAGAAGUAGACAUCUUCAUACAGAAAUACUCUCCAAAACUUCAGAAAUAUUGCGAGACAAUGGAGUACUUCUUCCAAGCUGUCCAUUUUCGAGUAGAAACUGAAAGUCCUAUCCAGUCUGUGAGGAAAUGGGAAAUUGAGAAAAGUUCUUUAACUAUUUUGUUUUUGCAUUUAACUUUGCCAAGCUGUCUGCUGGAGGAGUGCGAAGAAGUCUUUUUGAAAAACCCAGAGGGAAAGCCCCAUCUUCUUUACUACCGUUUGGAAGAGGGCCAAAACAGCUCAGAUUCUGUGCAGCAGUUAGUUGAACAAGUUCGUUACAUGAACAAAGCAAAGAUAAUCAGCCAUGUGGGAGGAGUAGAGGAGGGAGCACAUGCAGUCUACAGUUACGUAGAAAAGACCAUAAAGAAGGAUAUCCUUGGCUGUGAAAUGGCAGAGCUGGAAAAAAAAGAUGCAGCUGACAACAGUGACUCCUCUGUUCCUGAAGAGGAAAUCUUUGGAGAUGUGCUGUGGGAUGCACACGAUGAACAAGAACAGAUGGAGGCUUUCCAGCAGGCCUCCAAUUCAACUUGCGAGCUAGGAUUUGAAAAGUAUUACGAACGCUUAAACGACUUAGUGGCAGCACCAGCACCUAUUCCACCCCUUCUUGUAUCUGGAGGGCCAGGCUCUGGAAAAUCUCUUCUGCUAUCAAAAUGGAUUCAGCUGCAACAGAAGCAUUCAUCAAAUACACUAAUUUUAUAUCAUUUUGUUGGGAAACCUACAUCAAGCAGUGCAGAGCCUGCCCUGAUCCUCAAACGUCUCACAUUAAAGCUCAUGCAGCAUUCCUGGUCAGUCUCACCGCUGACAGUGGAUCCGGCUAAACUGUUAGAAGAAUUUCCUCGUUGGCUGGAGAAGCUCUCUGCUCACCACCAGGGCAGCAUUAUAAUAAUUAUUGACUCUGUUGACCGAAUACAGCAAGCUGAAAAGCACAUGAAGUGGCUGAUCGACCCCCUGCCAGUGAACGUCAGGGUUGUAGUGUCUGUGAAUGUUGAAACGUGUCCCCAAGCAUGGAGGCUAUGGCCAACUCUUCAUCUUGAUCCAUUAAGUAUAAAGGAUGUGAACUCUCUCAUUAAUAAAGAAUGCAGCUCGGCAAGUCUGAAGCUGACGAAAGAGCAGGAGAAGAAGCUUGAGAAACACUGUCAUUCUAGUACAACUUGCAAUGCUCUGUACGUCACGCUGUUGAGUAGAAUGGUGGCUGGCGCUGGAAGUGCAGAAAAUAUUGACUUAAUCUUGCAAAAGUGUCUCCUGUGCCAAGAUACGGUGUCGCUGUACAAGCUAGUUCUGAAAUCCAUUCAUGAAUCUUUGAAAAGCGAGAAAGACCAAGGCCUCUUGAAAGAGAUUCUUUGCCUCAUCAGCAUCAGCCACAAUGGAGUAAGCGAAUCGGAACUGAUAGAACUCUGCCCUGAGCUCUCCUGGGCAGUGUUAGCCUCUGUAGUUCACAGUCUGUAUAAGAUGUGCUUUUUAACAUACGGCUGUGGCUUAUUGAAGUUUCGUCAUCUACAGGCUUGGGAAACAGUAAAGCUGGAAUUUAUGGAAGAAGAUCACAAUGCUUUUGAUGCUUGCAGAAAAAAACUGAUUGACUACUUCACCAAGCAGCUAAGUCAAGAGAGAGUGACUUGGAGAAGUGCAGAUGAACUCCCCUGGCUGUUCCAGCAGCAAGGUGACAAGCAGAAGUUACAAAAGUGCCUCUUGAAUCUCUUUGUAUCCCAGAAUCUUUAUAAAAGGGGCCAUUUUGCAGAACUGUUGAGCUAUUGGCAGCUUCUGGGGAAAGAUAAGAACUCAAUGGCAGCAGAGUAUUUUAGCUCUCUGAAGCUGUAUGAGAAAAGUUGUGAAAGAGAGGAAAAUAUGAUCUCUCUAGCUGAUCUUUAUGAGACUCUGGGACGGUUUCUUAAGGAUCUGGGCCUUCUCAGUCAGGCUAUUGCUCCUUUGCAGCGCUCCCUGGAGAUUCGAGAGACAGCCCUUGAUCCAGACCAUCCUAGAGUAGCCCAAUCUCUCCAUCAAUUAGCAGGAGUUUAUGUGCAGUGGAAGAAGUUUGGUAACGCUGAGCAGUUAUACAAACAGGCUCUUGAAAUCUCUGAAAAUGCUUAUGGAACUGAACAUCUCAGGGUUGCUCGUGAACUUGAUGCUCUUGCAACAUUGUACCAGAAACAGAACAAGUAUGAACAAGCUGAACAUCUAAGGAAAAAAUCAUUCAAAAUUCAACAAAAAGCUGUGAGGCGGAAAGGCAGCCUGUAUGGAUUUGCUCUUCUUCGCCAACGAGCCCUGCAGCUAGAGGAGCUCACGCUGGGGAAAGACACAUCGGACAAUGCUCGAACUCUCAAUGAGCUUGGUGUUCUCUACUACCUUCAAAAUAAUCUUGAGACAGCAGAACUUUUCUUGAAACGCUCCUUGGAAAUGCGAGAACGGGUUCUUGGGUCUGAUCACCCAGACUGUGCCCAGUCUUUGAAUAAUCUAGCAGCUCUUUACAAUGAGAAGAAGCAGUAUGAUAAAGCAGAGGAGCUUUAUGAAAAGGCACUGAGCAUCCGCAAGAGAGCUUUGGCCCCUGACCAUCCUUCUUUAGCUUACACGGUGAAACACCUUGCUGUGCUCUACAAGAAGAUGGGAAAGCUUGACAAAGCCGUUCCUCUGUAUGAGUUAGCUGUUGAAAUUCGGCAAAAAUCUUUUGGUCCAAAGCACCCAAGUGUGGCUACUGCUUUGGUAAACUUGGCUGUUCUUUAUUGCCAAAUGAAAAAACAUCUUGAAGCUUUGCCUCUUUAUGAACGGGCCUUGAAGAUAUAUGAAGACAGCUUUGGACGUAUGCAUCCUCGUGUGGGAGAAACGUUAAAAAAUUUGGCAGUGUUGAGCUAUGAAGGAGGAGAUUUUGAGAAAGCUGCUGAGCUUUAUAAGAGAGCCAUGGAAAUCAAAGAAGCAGAGACAUUGUUGACAGGAGGGAAAGUGGCUUCCCGUCAUUCAUCAAGUGGAGACACGCUCAGUGUGAAGAGUGCUUUCUCUCCCCAUGUUUUCUUGCAGCAAGGACAAAGGUGAUGCAAACCAGUACACAGAACACAAGGCAUGUUGGCUAUCAAAGACCAAUAUUUCAGCUGCAUUAAUUCAAGGACAGACAACGAAUGAACUCUAGUGACUAUAUAAAUGUCUAGCAUGCUUAACAGUCUGUUUUCAGUUUAGUUACAAGUCUUCAAAUACCAGCUUUGAUCCAACCAUCAGUGGAAAGUGCUUUGCUGGAUCCAGGUUUUCCCUACAUUUCUGCCCACGAAGCAGUCCCCUUUGAUCCCUACAAAAAUAAUUUGUGAACCAUGGGAACAAAAAAGCCACUUUGGUUAUGGGUUGGGCUGCAGGGAGAGGAGGGGAUGAAAUCACCCCUCCCCAUGUUAGGAACACUGCAGUUGUGGAAGACAGAAGUGGGGAGCAAUUUUGCCCAUUUUUUUGCUGCAGCCCCAUCCCCACCUGUAUGUCUUUAGGUCCUCUGGCUCCAGAAACCAUUGGCAGGGGGAUGUGGAGAAAAUCUACACGCUUUCCUCUGAUUGCUAGCUGGCCACAGUUUAUUCUCAGCAGAAUAUAUAGGAUUUAAAGUAUUGGCCAUCACAUAUAAAGUCCUUCAUGGCCUUGGAUGCUCAUAUCUGCAGGACUGCCUCUCUUCCUAAAGCCCCACCAUGACAAUUUUGUUCAUCUGAGCAGGGCCUUCUGUAGGUACUACCCUACACACCACUGCCUGUACACGUAUUAUGAUGUUCCCUUGUCCUUAAACCACCGAAAUGGCAUCAGAGGUGUUUUUAAAACUAAAAAAUAACUAAGGAGUUUAUUUACUUUAAUGGGGAACGGUUCAGGAGGGCUUUUUUAUAACAAAGAAAUGGGGAUGUAGACUUUACUAGAGUGUAUGGUACAUAUUAUCUGUUGCUAUAUGCAUUAUUUUGUUUUCACUGCAUUGUAUUUCUAUUUAUACUAUUUACUCUUUGUUUAACAUGUCAUGUAUGUUUAAUAGCUGUGCUUUGUUCAGUUUUCUGCAAUCUCAGUUCUGUUACAUUGCUUAUGCUAUGCCUUAUGACUGCCUUACCUUGCACUAAGUAAUCUGCCUUGAGUCUCAGAGGGAAAGGCAGGUGAUAAAUAAUGUAAAUAAAGCGGAAAGAUUUGAUGAUGUCAAAGAAAUACUUAAACAAAGUAAAAGAGAAAAUUUAAUUCUGUAAGAUGCAUAGCAUCUAGCUUUUGAAACAGACAAAAAUAAUAGCAACUUUUUCCAGGUACAGUCUCUUUGUGCAGCUAGUAUAGAAAAUCUGUCAUAGCAGAUCUCUGUGGAGCUGCUGUCUUGUUGCUGCUUCUUGAUCUCUAGUUGAACCUUUUCAUACCUCAACAUAAAAGAGUGGAACAAAAAUGCCUGACCAUCCUUGUGUGAACUGGGGCUACUAAACAAUAAAUUUUAACAAUGGAUUACAAUUAAUUUAAGCAAAGAAAGAGACUUAAAAGCAGUGUUUCUGUAAUGGCAUUUUAUUUAUACAUAUAACAAAAUGUUGAUAAAUUAAAAACUAUUUUGCAUUUUAUCUAAUUAGGCUGCUGUUUUAACUGUCUAAUACACUGGAAUCUCGGGCUGAGAUCCAAAGAAGCUCUUUGCCUGCACCUGAUGUAAGCGCUGUGCU
Molecule: RNA transcript, 6630 nt
Organism: Eublepharis macularius
Lineage: Eukaryota; Metazoa; Chordata; Lepidosauria; Squamata; Eublepharidae
Gene: NPHP3
Gene name: nephrocystin 3
Exons: 28
Source: RefSeq, a predicted model, not a curated record